UUUUUAGUAUAAAUAUGUCCUAUGAAAUAUUUAAAGUGGGAUAUACUUACACUAAAA
RNAcentral lists this microRNA precursor (57 nucleotides) under Marmota monax (woodchuck). Lineage: Eukaryota; Metazoa; Chordata; Mammalia; Rodentia; Sciuridae. The record is from RNAcentral.